Molecule: ribosomal RNA, 464 nt
Filed under: uncultured Defluviicoccus sp.
Lineage: Bacteria; Pseudomonadati; Pseudomonadota; Alphaproteobacteria; Rhodospirillales; Rhodospirillaceae
Description: bacterial SSU rRNA
Rfam family: Bacterial small subunit ribosomal RNA
Source: RNAcentral
CCCGCACAAGCGGUGGAGCAUGUGGUUUAAUUCGACGCAACGCGCAGAACCUUACCAGCCCUUGACAUGGGGUCGCGGGUACCAGAGACGGUACCCUUCAGUUCGGCUGGACCCCACACAGGUGCUGCAUGGCUGUCGUCAGCUCGUGUCGUGAGAUGUUGGGUUAAGUCCCGCAACGAGCGCAACCCUCAUCUUCAGUUGCCAGCGGUUAGGCCGGGCACUCUGAAGAAACUGCCGGUGACAAGCCGGAGGAAGGUGGGGAUGACGUCAAGUCCUCAUGGCCCUUAUGGGCUGGGCUACACACGUGCUACAAUGACGGUGACAACGGGAAGCGACAGGGCGACCUUGAGCUAAUCCCCAAAAGCCGUCUCAGUUCGGAUUGUACUCUGCAACUCGGGUGCAUGAAGGCGGAAUCGCUAGUAAUCGCGGAUCAGCACGCCGCGGUGAAUACGUUCCCGGGCCUU